Non-coding RNA from Otolemur garnettii (small-eared galago), 133 nucleotides. Lineage: Eukaryota; Metazoa; Chordata; Mammalia; Primates; Galagidae. The record is from Rfam.
UGUUUGUACCUUCAUAUUAAUCUGAAGUUUAAAAAUAAAUAAAUACUGCUUAUUACACCCAACAGAACUCUGGGGUCAUUGUGAUGGGGGGCACAAAACUUAUAGCUUCCCUAUGAACAAAUUCCCUGCACGU